AAGAUUAGAAUGCCUAACUUUAAUGACUAUGUGUGAUUGAUAUGUUACACGAGGGAAAUAUAAAUAGCUUUUCCCGACGUUUAAAGUAUAGAGAUUAGAUUUAGAAAGACUAGUGAGCCCCAAUAAAGUAGUGACAUAAGAAGUAUAUGACUUGUAAGAAAUUAGAAAGUUUAUAUAACUUAAGACGGUUGAUCAUAUGUAAUUAAUUUACUGGCCUUGUGCUAUAUUUUAAGUAUGAAAUGUUUGAAUGGGCUUUGGACCACGUUUAUGAAUAAAAUGUUUAAGUUAUGAUCCAAGUGAUACCAGAGACUACCUAUAUAGGAGUUGGAUAAUCUGGUUGGGUUCCCGGAGGGAAUUCCACAUGACGACAAGAUGAGUCAAGGAGUCGUGUCCUAGCCCUUGAUAAGGAAUUUGACUGACUAGGUAGACCUCUUGAGCUUAACUCACCUCAGGUUGUCUACAUAAAAAUGAACCUAGAUAAUUAUUGUGUGAUACAUAUUAUUAUAUGCUAUGUAAUGAUAAAUGAAUAUGAUAAUGCUUAUAAGAUGAUCAAUUGACAACCAGGUUUCCCAUAUGACUACUGACACCCUAGGUGUAGUAGGAACUCACUGAGGCUUAGAGUCUCAACCCACUCCCUUUUAUUUUUUUCAGAUAAACAGGAUUAUCAAUACAGGGGUAAGAAGGAAGCUGAUGAUCGAGGCUUAGCUUGGAUUAUCUUGAGAUAUUAACAUUAGUUUUUUUCCUUGUUUUGUAUUACUCUGUUUAGAUUCCUUUCCGCUGUGACGUAUCAGUUUACUACGUUGUACUUAUACGUUGUAAAUGAAACAUGUUAUUAUGUAAUUUUAAUGUAUCUAGAUUUC
This 860-nucleotide long non-coding RNA is filed under the name Trifolium pratense (red clover). RNAcentral describes it as "long non-coding RNA (TPRA_LNC004160)". Lineage: Eukaryota; Viridiplantae; Streptophyta; Magnoliopsida; Fabales; Fabaceae. The record is from RNAcentral.